Molecule: ribosomal RNA, 253 nt
Filed under: uncultured bacterium
Lineage: Bacteria
Description: partial 16S ribosomal RNA
Rfam family: Bacterial small subunit ribosomal RNA
Source: RNAcentral
UACGAAGGGGGCUAGCGUUGCUCGGAAUCACUGGGCUUAAAGGGCGCGUAGGCGGGCCGCCAGGUCCGGGGUGAAAGCCUCCAGCCCAACUGGAGAAGUGCCUUGGAUACCGGCGGCCUCGAGGGAGGUAGGGGCGUGCGGAACUUCGGGUGGAGCGGUGAAAUGCGUAGAUAUCCGAAGGAACACCGGUGGCGAAAGCGGCGCGCUGGAUCUCUUCUGACGCUGAGGCGCGAAAGCCAGGGGAGCAAACGGG